This 497-nucleotide ribosomal RNA is filed under the name uncultured bacterium. RNAcentral's name for it is "partial 16S ribosomal RNA". It matches the Rfam family "Bacterial small subunit ribosomal RNA", at positions 28 to 507 of the family's 1533-position model. The record is from RNAcentral.
GAUGAACGCUGGCGGCGUGCCUAAUACAUGCAAGUCGAGCGAACAGACGAGGAGCUUGCUCCUCUGACGUUAGCGGCGGACGGGUGAGUAACACGUGGAUAACCUACCUAUAAGACUGGGAUAACUUCGGGAAACCGGAGCUAAUACCGGAGAAUAUAUUGAACCGCAUGGUUCAAUAGUGAAAUACGGUUUUGCUGUCACUUAUAGAUGGAUCCGCGCCGGAUUGGCUAGUUGGUAAGGUAACGGCUUUCCAAGGCGACGAUGCGUAGCCGACCUGAGGGGGUGAUCGGCCACACGGGAGCGUAGACACGGUCCAGACUCCUACGGGAGGCACCAGUAGGGAAUGUUCGGCAAUGGGCGGAAGCCUGACGGAGCAACGCCAAGUGAGUGAUGAAGGUGUUCGGAUCGUAAAACUCUGUUAUUAGGGAAGAACAACUGUGUAAGUAGAUGUGGACGUCUUGACGGUACCUAAUCAGAAAGCCACGGCUAACUACGUG